RNAcentral lists this ribosomal RNA (253 nucleotides) under uncultured bacterium. RNAcentral describes it as "partial 16S ribosomal RNA". It matches the Rfam family "Bacterial small subunit ribosomal RNA", at positions 524 to 776 of the family's 1533-position model. The record is from RNAcentral.
UACGGAGGGUGCAAGCGUUAUCCGGAUUUAUUGGGUUUAAAGGGUCCGCAGGCGGACCGAUAAGUCAGUGGUGAAAUCUCAUAGCUUAACUCUGAAACUGCCAUUGAUACUGCCUGGCUUGAGAGGAGUGGAGGCCGCCGGAACGGACGGUGUAGCGGUGAAAUGCAUAGAUAUCGUCCAGAACGCCGAUUGCGAAGGCGGGUGGCUGCGCUUCGUCUGACACUGAGGCACGAAAGCGUGGGGAGCGAACAGG